This is a long non-coding RNA of Thunnus maccoyii (southern bluefin tuna), 627 nucleotides long. RefSeq lists it as uncharacterized. The record is from RefSeq and is a predicted model, not a curated record. The transcript is spliced from 3 exons. NCBI's taxonomy places the organism in Eukaryota, Metazoa, Chordata, Actinopteri, Scombriformes, Scombridae.
GUAUUUAUAAAUAGAGCAAAGAAAUGUUUCUUUUUCAGCAAAAAUACAAGUGCACAUAUACACAUACACAUAUGUUGAUGUGAACCAAGUUAAUUUUCUCUCAUAUUCCACCUUGAUUAUCAUAAAAAAUAAAAAUUAAAUAUCUAAACUUUUCUUUGUAUCUUCCUGUACACUUGUUUUUAGCACUAUGUGAAAGUUUACUGAGAUCUACUCACGACAAGAGUCAAAUUACUUGUAGGUAUCAGCAAACUUGGCCAAUAUAGUUGAUUCUGUGUCUGAUUAUUUGUAUUAUGUGAAGCCAAACUGAAAUCAAUAAAAACAAGAAUGACUAUAAAUGACAGAAUCUGUGAUAUUUCAGUUUAUUGAGGAUGUUACUUUGAAUGACUUUGACAAACCUGCCACCCUCUGCAUAAUGUAUUAAAAAGAAAAUGCACAAGAAAGAAAAAAUACUACAAGCAGCAAAAUCAAGCAUCAAGAUAAAAAUAUUCUACAGAAUUUACACUUAGUAACUGCAAAUAUACUGUAUGUAUGUGUGUAUUUAUAGUUUUAGGACAAUUGUGUCUUUAACGUAAAUUUACAAUCAACCACAACACGUCAUAAGUGGCAUUUCUGAACACUGAUCAACGU